RNAcentral lists this ribosomal RNA (492 nucleotides) under uncultured bacterium. RNAcentral's name for it is "partial 16S ribosomal RNA". It matches the Rfam family "Bacterial small subunit ribosomal RNA", at positions 29 to 507 of the family's 1533-position model. The record is from RNAcentral.
AGUGAACGCUGGCGGUAGGCCUAACACAUGCAAGUCGAACGGCAGCACAGUAAGAGCUUGCUCUUACGGGUGGCGAGUGGCGGACGGGUGAGGAAUACAUCGGAAUCUACUUUUUCGUGGGGGAUAACGUAGGGAAACUUACGCUAAUACCGCAUACGACCUACGGGUGAAAGCAGGGGGUCUUCGGACCUUGCGCGAUUGAAUGAGCCGAUGUCGGAUUAGCUAGUUGGCGGGGUAAAGGCCCACCAAGGCGACGAACCGUAGCUGGUCUGAGAGGAUGAUCAGCCACACUGGAACUGAGACACGGUCCAGACUCCUACGGGAGGCAGCAGUGGGGAAUAUUGGACAAUGGGCGCAAGCCUGAUCCAGCCAUACCGCGUGGGUGAAGAAGGCCUUCGGGUUGUAAAGCCCUUUUGUUGGGAAAGAAAAGCAGCAGGUUAAUACCCCGCUGUUCUGACGGUACCCAAAGAAUAAGCACCGGCUAACUUCGUG